Molecule: non-coding RNA, 1146 nt
Organism: Misgurnus anguillicaudatus (oriental weatherfish)
Lineage: Eukaryota; Metazoa; Chordata; Actinopteri; Cypriniformes; Cobitidae
Source: RefSeq, a predicted model, not a curated record
UACACCCAUGUGCGGAUUUGCAUAAUGCUUGUAUAUUAUAGUGUUGUUAUCUGUGCGUAUACAUUAGCACUCAGAAGAGUUACGCACUCGUGCUCGUGCACAUACAGGGCUUUGAGACGUCACCUGCUUAGCACUUCUUACAACGGACUAGCAUCGAGGACAGAAGUUUUUUCUCUUUCUGCUGCCUUGGAAGAACUUAUGCGAAGCAGUGAUGAAGAAAAUGUCGAGGAUACCGAAGAAGAAAGUGUUUGCAGUGUCGAUUUGGAACAAGAGGAAAUGUUUUUACACGGUCUAGAUCGGGAUGCUGACACUUCUGAUGAAGAGUGGUUACCAGAGGCCUCUGGACCACAGACUAAUCAUUCCUGCCUUUCUAAACAUCUUCACCUGCGUUCACCUGUGCCAAGGGAAGAGGAAAGAAAAGGACACAGAUAGAAUCUCCAUCUGACUCACGCAGUACUGUAUGGUUGGUGAAAAUACAAUGCUGAAAAGAAAACUGUACUUUGAGGCAGACUGUUGACAGAUUAUUGUAAGAUAGUAUUGUGAAUGUGUGCAAAUGGCAUCACUAGAACAGGUCUGAUGGUACAUUACUCUGCUAUUCAUAAUCCUAAAGUGUGAACUUUGUUUAUGAAUAGAGCAGGCAUGAUGGUACAUUACUCUGAUAGCCAUAAUCCUAAAGUGUGAAUUUUGUGUAUGAAUACAGCAGGCAUAAUGGGACAUUACUUUGCUAUUCAUAAUCCUAAAGUGUGAAUUUUGUGUAUGAAUAGAGCAGGGAUGAUGGUACAUUACUCUGAUAGCCAUAAUCCUAAAGUGUGAAUUUUAUGUAUGAGUACAGCAGGGAUGAUGGGACAUUACACUGCUAUUCAUAAUCCUAAAGUGUGAAUUUUGUGUAUGAAUAGAGCAGGCAUGAUGGUACAUUACACUAAUAGUCAUAAUCCUAAAGUGUAAAUGCAAUACUUUGUAAAUAGUUUGUAUUUUUGACUCGUGUCACAGCACUGCCAAGCUAUGUGCAAUACUUUAUCACAGUUUGUUGAUAACUACUAUAUUGUAAACAUAUAAAAACCUAUACAUAAAUUUGUUCUUUAAUGUUGUACAUUUUCCUAAACCAUGCAAAAUUAUGUAAGUAAAUAAAGACAUUGUUUCAUUUUA